This is a long non-coding RNA of Nymphaea colorata (pocket water lily), 2356 nucleotides long. RefSeq lists it as uncharacterized. The transcript is spliced from 2 exons. The record is from RefSeq and is a predicted model, not a curated record. Lineage: Eukaryota; Viridiplantae; Streptophyta; Magnoliopsida; Nymphaeales; Nymphaeaceae.
CUUGACGUACACCAACCUCUCUCUCCCUAUUCUCACCGUCUGUUUUUUCCUUCCGCAGCGGCGAUAGUGGUGGUGGAUAAGGGAGGGGAGCUUCACGACACUGAAAAGCCGAUGAUAGAUCAAAAAUGUGAGAGUGAGAUGAGCUUUGGGGGAGCGUGAUUUUUUAGUUUUCGUGGGAUGAGCUUUCAUUUUCCAUUUGCUUGCUGCAGCAUGCUGCUUGUUUUCUUUCCCAAAAGUCAUUCCUCGACUGUCGGUGUCCUUUUCAUUCAUUGGUGUCUGAUUCUGUUCAAGGGCAGAAAUUGAACGGAGCAGAUUGAGAAAUUCUUCAUUUUGCCUUUCAGAAGCAAUGACGAAGAUUUUAUGUUCAGAGGACAGGGAGGCAUGUGAUGAUGGUCAUGAGUCUGACGCCAUGCUCGGCAUCCCCUUCAUGAUCAUCAUCAUCAUGCAACCGCCCAAAACGCCGCCUAUCCUGCUUUCUUUCCAUGAUUGUCUUUGCAGAUAACCCUCUCUAUCUGUUGCUCUCUAUAUAUAUCAAUUCCCCUCGUCCCUCCACGUCUUCCACAUCUUCCUCUAAACUGAUAAACUCUGAUGCCGUGUGACUACAGCGUCUUUGGUUUGGGAAGAAGACGGUGGUUUGAAGGUGGUAUGGUGUCGGUGCCCCUUGUUUAAGGCCCUUCGCGUCAUGCUUGAUUUCCUCGCCCCUUCUGAAUCCCUAAGUACCCCCAUUUUUUGCCCUUUAGCUCUCGGGCUCUUUCUUCUAUUUGCUUUUUUGCUGAUCAGACUGUUGGUGGCACAAAAGAUGACUGAAUUUCUUUAUGAAUUGAAGGAAAAUCGGAAACAAAGUUGGCCAUUAUGUGAUGUUUUACAAAUGGUUAUUAAGCAAUAGUUGCAGACUUGUUCCAAAGAGAGUUUAGAAUACUGCCAUGCUUUAUGAUUUUUGAGCUUGGAUCGUUUCAGAUAAAAGUAGGUGAAGUUGCCAUCCCCUCUUUUGCUUCUUUUUUAUAUAUAUUAUAUUUUCACCAUUCAAACCUCAUGGUUCGUUUGUUAACUGAUCUUCUUUGUCAUGAGCUUUUGUUGUUCACUUACUUCUUUCUUUUUCGAUUCUUGAUUGGGUUGCGUUGGGUUUCCCUACAUGAAGAUAAUAACUCUUUCUGCCUGUCUUAAUGUUGGUUUCUGUUUUUCUUUUUCCAUUUGUCUUAAUGUUGGUAAGCCUAACACAUGCUACCUUUACCAAGGCACCAUAUAUUCAUUCCAAGUUCCAGACCAUCACUCACUUUGGCAUUGUGGAACCUGGAACUUUUGUUCCACCCCAUACUGCAAAUAAGUGUGUACAGUAUAGCUGCUGUUGUUUGCAGAUGGCUUUCGAACUUUAUGGAAUGCUUGCUGGCAAUGUGAGUCCAAUGACAGGUGAAACUAUAAAGCCCGCUUGUGGCGGUGAGGAGGAGGCCUUUCUGAAAAAAGUGGUCACACCAAUCUAUGAAACAAUUGCACAGGUUUAUCUCUGUAUCUAUUUGUUCAGAUGCUAAUUAAUGAAAUCUAUAUGUUUAUUCCGCCCAAGUUUCUGUAUAAUCAUCUUCUCUUUGAUCUUGUCAUGCAUAGCCAUUUUAUUUCUCUCGUGCAUUUAAAAAGAUGUAUCUGAUAUGCGUAAUUGUUAUGUGAGGAGAUGAUAUCCUUUAAAUGGUCAAAAAAAAUUUUCUUGAAAAAAUUUUCCUGUCUAUCACACUAGGCAAUUUUUUCCCUUCAAAAAAGUUCCAAGCUAUCAAACAUGGCCUGAAACAAGAAAAUGGGAAUUUUACCCUCCUGUCAGUUUACCAUGGAGAUUUUACCCUUGAAAAAAUUUCCCCUCAAAAAAAUCCAAGCCAUCAAACGUGGCCUAAAGAUAAAUAUUGGUCUGUCCCCGUUUCUUGCGAGAUUUUUCUUUGGUGUCUCCAACUGCAUUUGCAUUUUUCUGUUUUCAUGUCCUAUGCCUGCAAAAGGUGUAUCUGCAUGAUCAACAUGUUACAUGUUUCUGGUCUAUGUGACAUGAGUACGCAGAAGCAGGCACGGCUACGCUACUAGGUACAGGUUGGAUUCUGGGUCAGACUUGAUCCAAACCAUAAAAAUCUUUCUUUCGUUUUAACUGAUGGAAAACAAGUCGAGCUCUGCAACCUACCUGUGCUUUUUUCAACCCUCGUUUACAGUAGCAAUGAAUGGCGGUGACGACGACAUCCAGUGACCCAGGGGGUAAUCAGCUUCCUGCUGAGGAAGCUGUUCAACGGAUUCUUCAGGUUGGGGGAAUCGCUGCUUAUCGGAAACAGAGUUGUAUAUUAUUUUCUUUGUACUGUAUUUGGAAAAAUAACAUAAACAAAUUGUAUAA